UACGUAGGGCGCAAGCGUUGUCCGGAAUUAUUGGGCGUAAAGAGCUCGUAGGCGGUCUGUUGCGUCGGCUGUGAAAACCCGGGGCUCAACUCCGGGCCUGCAGCCGAUACGGGCAGACUAGAGUUCGGCAGGGGAGACUGGAAUUCCUGGUGUAGCGGUGGAAUGCGCAGAUAUCAGGAGGAACACCGGUGGCGAAGGCGGGUCUCUGGGCCGAUACUGACGCUGAGGAGCGAAAGCGUGGGGAGCGAACAGG
This 253-nucleotide ribosomal RNA is filed under the name uncultured bacterium. RNAcentral describes it as "partial 16S ribosomal RNA". It matches the Rfam family "Bacterial small subunit ribosomal RNA", at positions 524 to 776 of the family's 1533-position model. The record is from RNAcentral.